Molecule: ribosomal RNA, 253 nt
Filed under: uncultured bacterium
Lineage: Bacteria
Description: partial 16S ribosomal RNA
Rfam family: Bacterial small subunit ribosomal RNA
Source: RNAcentral
UACGUAGGUGGCAAGCGUUGUCCGGAUUUACUGGGUGUAAAGGGCGUGCAGCCGGAGAGACAAGUCAGAUGUGAAAUCCACGGGCUCAACCCGUGAACUGCAUUUGAAACUGUUUCCCUUGAGUGUCGGAGGGGUAAUCGGAAUUCCUUGUGUAGCGGUGAAAUGCGUAGAUAUAAGGAAGAACACCAGUGGCGAAGGCGGAUUACUGGACGAUAACUGACGGUGAGGCGCGAAAGCGUGGGGAGCAAACAGG